RNAcentral lists this ribosomal RNA (487 nucleotides) under uncultured bacterium. RNAcentral's name for it is "bacterial SSU rRNA". It matches the Rfam family "Bacterial small subunit ribosomal RNA", at positions 28 to 507 of the family's 1533-position model. The record is from RNAcentral.
GAUGAACGCUGGCGGCAGGCUUAAUACAUGCAAGUUGAACGGUAACAUAUUGUAGCAAUACGAUGAUGACGAGUGGCGUACGGGUGCGUAACACGUGUGCAACCUACCUUAUACCGGUAACAUAACGUCGAGAAAUUGACGCUAACAUUCCAUAACAUUGCUUGAAGGCAUCUUUUAGCAAUUAAAACUCCGGUGGUAUAAGAUGGGCACGCGUUCCAUUAGCUUGUUGGUAAGGUAACGGCUUACCAAGGCUACGAUGGAUAGGGGUUCUGAGAGGAUUAUCCCCCACACUGGAACUGAGACACGGUCCAGACUCCUACGGGAGGCAGCAGUAAGGAAUAUUGGGCAAUGGAGGCAACUCUGACCCAGCCAUGCCGCGUGCAGGAAGACGGCCCUACGGGUUGUAAACUGCUUUUAAUAGGGAGUAAGGUUAGUUACGUGUAACUAAUUGCAAGUACCUAUAGAAUAAGGAUCGGCUAACUCCGUG